UGGACGUAAAAUCCAUAAUGGUGCUUGGUCGUCAGGGAAUAUCCUAUUCAAUCCAAUCCAGUUUCCCGAAAAUAUCGGCGCCCAGUGUAUACAGAUAAUUUAUAUCUUGGAUAGCCUGGAUUAAUAGCGAACUGUAUUUUGCCUCGUGAUUGGCACGAGUGCAAUUCUGAAGGUGAUUUUCAGGCAUGGGAGAAGAAAUGCAGGAUGCAGCCAAGAGUCAUUUUACUAAAGAGAAGAACAUCAAAGGAAAAAGGUCCAUAAAAUCAUAAGGUUCCGUUAGGCGUGGGGUAACCUGCAUUGAUGAUUCGUCUGCAACGUUCCAGACUGGCAAGGUUCCAGGACAUAACGGGACGUAUGCUCCGGGGCCCUCUACCAUCUCGCUCAUGAUCAGAGCCGACAAUUAAGGCAUAAUGGUUUCAAAUUUCCAAAGAUUGCAAUUCAGAAUUUGUAUGAGUACAACACAACAGCGUCUACAGCCCGAGAGAAAAGUUCACGGCACUGCGCUUUUCUUCAUCGGAGCGGUCCCCUGCCAGCUACCAGCAAAAGAUCGAAUAAGAAACGGGUCUAUCUCUCAGUAUGUGCGUCCGCUCUUGUUUGAUGCUAGGGUGUCACUCCAAUGGAGAAAUGUGACACCAUGGUGGUCCGUAAAGAUUUGUACCAAGCUGUACAUUGUACAACCCCGACAACUAACAAACACUGCUCGGUAAGGUCAGUGUUCCAAUUUGAGAUUUUGCUGCCUAUUUCUUCCCAUAAGGCUGCUCUUGCAGAAACGCAUUAGAAAGUCAUUUGGGUGAACUCCGGUGUACCAAGACAAGUGCAGAACAAAAAAAUUUAUAGUUAGACUUUGAAGGCAGUAAUCAACAUAAAUAAGUUUUACCUCUGAGCAAUGAUUGCCCAUUCAAGGCAACAACAAACUCAUAGGUUCACCACAUCAUCUAAACUUCCUCUGUCUGUUACAGCUUGUUUCUGUCCACAACGACAUCUUUAAGGUGCAUAUCCUGUGCCAUGCAACCAGAGGAGUGGUUACAUGAACUAUCAUUCAUCGAGCAUUUGUGAGGAGAUUGUUAGAGGAAUCAGUCAGACAGAUGCGUUUCAGAUGUUUUUUUUUUUUUUUCAGUUUUCAGGUUUUGAUUGUUAUUCCAUGACAGUAUACACUGAUUACUGAUAACAAGACUGAGAGGGCAAGCCCUGUUGAACAGUCCAAGACACAGUCAAUGCAAAUGUCUACACAAUUUGAGGGGAACAGAAAUACCAAGAACACAUGACAAGUAUAAGAAACAAAUAGCAAAGAUAUUGCACAGCAGAGAAAUGCACAUAAUCAAAAAGUAAUUGCAUGUCACCCUACGUAUCAGCAGAAAAGUCCUGUUUGAUGGUGUUUUUGAAGGAUGCCAGAUUAUUGUUGGAAUGAAUGUGUAGAGCAGUGUUGCUCAAACUGUGGGUCAUGACCCCCAAAUGGGUCAUGAGCUGUUGAAAGAUUCAUUGUUUCACGCCCAACCAGAGGCGUAAAGCUCAAUUCAUGUUCAAAGCAUUAAUGGACUGUCAUGUGUUGUCACAUGACAGUGCUGCAUUCAUCAGUAAAUGAUGUAGAUGUGAAGGUCCUUAAGCAUGAAUUCAACAGAUCCUCUGGCUGGGUGUAUUUCCUGCUGCUUGGCACACUCUUGGAACCUGGUUGAAAAGCUGCUUCUGAAGACUGCCCUGCUGCUAUGGCUUUCUUCACAUCAUCUGUGCAUCAAUAUUCGAACAGAUUGGGACAAAAGUUUAUGGGGUGUUGCAUUUCUUCAUGGGAGUGACACCCUAGCAGCAAACAGGAGCGGCCACACACACUGAGAGGUGCACAGAACAGCCAGUCCAGUCACCUGUUUCUUAUUCAAUAUCUUCCUGCUAGCCAGCAGGGGGCCGCUCCGAUGAGGUGCAAGGCAACAGGCUCAUUGAUAUGGUGUCCAGCUGGAAUUUGUGGUAUUUUGGAACGAUGUAUUGCUAACGACACUAGUAAAAAUACCCAAAACUGGACUGAGUGUUCGGCUCACUGAGGUUACCGAAGAGCUACGUUUCCUUGAGGUGUGAAACAAAGCAUGAUAAAAUGAAUCAACCAAGUUGUGUGAUCUAGCUGGCCAAUACUGAGUAGAUUUGCAAUAUAGAUUUGCAAUAUCUUGAGGACUUUUGCCUCUCUUGUAACAAAUGCUAAAUAAAUGCAAUCAAGCA
Long non-coding RNA from Ornithodoros turicata, 2202 nucleotides. RefSeq lists it as uncharacterized. The transcript has 3 exons. The record is from RefSeq and is a predicted model, not a curated record. NCBI's taxonomy places the organism in Eukaryota, Metazoa, Arthropoda, Arachnida, Ixodida, Argasidae.